CUCCAGUUAUCUAUCAGCGUCGCGAUCAGUUUAUAUGCAAUUGCCUCUGUGAGACAAUCUUAUUACAAAAUGUUGAGAAUUGCAUUACUCUUGAUUAUAGUUCAGUCUGUAAUAUUAGUGGCUUCCGGACCUUACAAUGGCCUCCACAUACCGUCAGAAUGUACAGAUAAUCCUUUCUUUGCUGAUUGUUCACUGGUUGUGCGGAGUAAAUUCUGCAACCACAAUUUCUACUCGCAGUUUUGUUGCAAAUCCUGCAUCGAGUCUGGACAGGUGGACCCUAUGAGAACUUUGAACCACCUUGAAGGUGAAUAUUGGAACUAGAUUUUCUCGCAUGUUGAUGCAACAUAUUUGCAAGUCGUCUAUACUCCUAAUAACUUCACUUGGCUUCAAAUACUUAUUGGUUAUGCGUUAUAAUAAAAUCUAUGAAUAAUUUAA
Molecule: long non-coding RNA, 435 nt
Organism: Pieris rapae (cabbage white)
Lineage: Eukaryota; Metazoa; Arthropoda; Insecta; Lepidoptera; Pieridae
Exons: 3
Source: RefSeq, a predicted model, not a curated record